Dermochelys coriacea (leatherback sea turtle) is the source of this 1026-nucleotide long non-coding RNA. RefSeq lists it as uncharacterized. NCBI's taxonomy places the organism in Eukaryota, Metazoa, Chordata, Testudines, Dermochelyidae. The record is from RefSeq and is a predicted model, not a curated record. The transcript is spliced from 2 exons.
UGGAAUGUUCUGUCUGCAAUCUAUACCUCUUGCUGUUACUAUACUGAGCCUGUCCUCCUUUGCAAAAAGCUUUGAGAUUUACUGAUGAAAAGUGCUCGUUGAAAAGUAGAUAUUAUUUAUUAUUAUUAUUAUUAUUAUUAUUAAGUCUUUUCUUCUCUGUGAUUCCAGUUUCUCAGCUACCAAAGUUCAGGUUCUAUUCCUGCUGUUGCACUGACCUCUGGUGCCUUGGAAAGAAUUGGAAAGGACAGGUAACCCAUGUCCGUUCUUUCAAAGUAUUCCUCAACUCUGUCUGAUUCACACAUAAGCUUCUGCCCAGUUCAGGAGCCUGGCUGUGACAAUUCCCCUUGCCACCUUGCAGAGAUUGAUGCUCUUGUGUGAGUGGAAGUUCGCCAACAUUUGAUGCCGUUUUACUAAUUCUGGCCCCAAUCCAUGGGUGUGGACUGCAGCACAGAGCUCCACUAUAAACAAAGGGUCUCUCUGUAGGUGCAGGGAGUUCUAUUUCAGGAGCCUUAGUGCACAGUAGAACUACAAGUAUAACCACACAGCAGUUAAACUUUGAUGCAUGGAGAGGACCUAACUGUGUCCCCCUUAUUUAUUUCUGUAAUGGGCCACAAGGGCGAUGGUUUUGCUCCGAGUAGUUCCUCACGCUGCUCCCUUCAUCUCAAUUGACCAACUCUUCAUUUAAUUUACAUUCCUUCCUAGCUCUUUUUAUUUCUAAUUAAGACAAUUUGUCACGUAAUUACAAUCAUGUUUAUCUUUGUGACACUCAAUGACCUGGGCCCAGGGUAUCCAAAAGAUCGAAAGCUCCAGGAUGAAGACCAUAGUUGUCAAUGGCACUCCUCUGGCUCAGUGGAAUGGCAGGUUCCAGCUUUCCUGUGUUUGGAAACUCAGCGUUCUUGGGGGCCAGUCCCAGCCUGUGAAAUGAACUGGCCCAGGAACUAAGGACCACCACUCACCUCACUACCUCCACUCAAAGUGUAAGGCACCUGUCUUCUCAAACACAAACCCAGAGCAGCGUGGACAUUU